This 530-nucleotide long non-coding RNA is filed under the name Phaseolus vulgaris (common bean). Its description in RNAcentral is "long non-coding RNA (PVUL_LNC002978)". The record is from RNAcentral. Lineage: Eukaryota; Viridiplantae; Streptophyta; Magnoliopsida; Fabales; Fabaceae.
AGUAAGAGAAUGAAGAAGAAAAUUAUGGAAGUCUAACCUCAAGAAAUCCUCAUAAAUCUCUCUUAAUUAACUACAUAAAGGACUGAACUUAAUAGCUGCAAGAAGCUGUAAUUAUUCUCAGCCAAAUUGAGAGAAAAAUAGAAAUUAUAUGAGAAUACACCAAGAUCCUUGAGAAGUAGCAGCAUACAAAGUGAAUGUAAGGGAAAAAAGAGAGAUUAGUCUCUUGCCUGAAAGCUGUGUAAUUCCUUGAAAGAGCUUCAAUGUUGUGUUGUGACUGCAAGAGUCUGUUUUAGUUUUAGUUUAGUAGAGAGACUUGUUUUCUGAAUUGAAAAAGGAGAAUAAGACAAUUAGUGAAUUGCAAGGUGGAAAAGUAAGGACAUGACAUAAUCAUUUAUUGUUUGAUUGCAGGUUCAAAAAAUUCUCAUUUUCUUUGAAUUAUUGCAAAAUUUUCAUUUUCUUAUGAUAAAUGAUUAUACUGAUAUAAUUAUUUGUUUUUUAUAUGCCAUAAUGUUGUUUAUUUUUAACUUUUU